UACGUAGGGGGCAAGCGUUGUCCGGAUUUAUUGGGCGUAAAGAGCGUGUAGGCGGCUUUACAGGUCCGUUGUGAAAACUCGAGGCUCAACCUCGAGACGCCGGUGGAAACCGUAAAGCUAGAGUCCGGAAGAGGAGAGUGGAAUUCCUGGUGUAGCGGUGAAAUGCGCAGAUAUCAGGAGGAACACCCGUGGCGAAAGCGGCUCUCUGGGCCUGUACUGACGCUGAGGAGCGAAAGCGUGGGGAGCGAACAGG
This 253-nucleotide ribosomal RNA is filed under the name uncultured bacterium. RNAcentral's name for it is "partial 16S ribosomal RNA". It matches the Rfam family "Bacterial small subunit ribosomal RNA", at positions 524 to 776 of the family's 1533-position model. The record is from RNAcentral.